RNAcentral lists this ribosomal RNA (466 nucleotides) under uncultured bacterium. RNAcentral's name for it is "partial 16S ribosomal RNA". It matches the Rfam family "Bacterial small subunit ribosomal RNA", at positions 29 to 506 of the family's 1533-position model. The record is from RNAcentral.
ACGCACGCUGGCGGCGUGCUUAACCCCUGCCAGUCGCACGGAAAGGCCCUGCUUUUGUGGGGUGCUCGAGUGGCGAACGGGUGAGUAACACGUGAGUAACCUGCCCUUGACUUUGGGAUAACUUCAGGAAACUGGGGCUAAUACCGGAUAGGAGCUCCUGCUGCAUGGUGGGGGUUGGAAAGUUUCGGCGGUUGGGGAUGGACUCGCGGCUUAUCAGCUUGUUGGUGGGGUAGUGGCUUACCAAGGCUUUGACGGGUAGCCGGCCUGAGAGGGUGACCGGCCACAUUGGGACUGAGAUACGGCCCAGACUCCUACGGGAGGCAGCAGUGGGGAAUAUUGCACAAUGGGCGGAAGCCGGAUGCAGCAACGCCGCGUGCGGGAUGACGGCCUUCGGGUUGUAAACCGCUUUCGCCUGUGACGAAGCGUGAGUGACGGUAAUGGGUAAAGAAGCACCGGCUAACUACGU